This 2028-nucleotide long non-coding RNA is filed under the name Theobroma cacao (cacao). Its description in RNAcentral is "long non-coding RNA (TCAC_LNC002965)". The record is from RNAcentral. Lineage: Eukaryota; Viridiplantae; Streptophyta; Magnoliopsida; Malvales; Malvaceae.
UAAGAAUGAAAUUAUGGCUAAUCAAACUAAACAAAAAUAUUGAAUAAAAUAUUCUAUUUUCUUAUAAAACAAUAUUUAUAGAAUUCUGCAUAAAUAAUUUUUGUAGUGUAAAAACAAAAUAAAUUCAUACAUACAGUGGCACACGCAGCCAAGUAUACAAAAUAUUCUACAAUGACAUGUGGGCUCCCAAAAUAAACAAAUAUGUAUAAGAAGGUAGACCUUCGAUUUCUAAGGAUGUAAAUCCUAAAGUAGAUCCUCGAAGAAAUCAGCUAUCAACAGAUUAUCUUGAACCUGAAAUGGGUGAGAAGAAGGGGUUAGUUUUUAUAAACCCAGUGAGUAAGCAAAAUUCAUCUAUAACAUCUAAAGUCGAGUAAAUGGAGACAGUUUAAUCAUCCAAUCAUAAUAUAAUUCAUAACAUUCAAAAACUCAUUUCAAUUCAUAUAAAACAAUUACAUUUCAUCAAAAUAAUCAACAAGGCUUAUGAUUCUCUUAAAAACUUGGCUUGUGCCAAAACUUAUACUUGGGGACACCUUGGCCUGGGCAUCCAACCGAGUCCGCCAAGGAUGUUAAAACGACAUAUACCCAUAAAACAUGUUUUUACUUUUAAAAUAUAGCCAUUCCUUGGCGUUGGUUGAGUUUCAUCCUCACGUGGUGGUUCGACGUGAAGUGAACUCUAAACUUACCUUAGGAGAUACCUUCUGCACCUCUCAUACUAAGGUAAAAUAUAACAAAGUUUACCAUGCCCCUCUAAUAGGCUGGUCCACAGAAACCCGCCCACUGCAGUAAGCUAAUCAAAUAACCCACCAAAUCAAUAAACAUUUUGACAGCAUGACAUGGCUAAUUUAAUACUAUCCAGCCUGUCAAUGUAAGACAAAGCAAUUUAUAUAAUUCACAAAACCACAAUUCCAGCUAUUCAUGCAACAACAAUUUCAUAAGCCAUCAAUUCAAAUCAUGUAUAUAUAUAUAUAUAUAUAUAUAUAUAUAUAUAAUACAAAUGUAUAGCCUCCACUUACUCUAUUUCGAAAAUCAACAUUUAGUUUCAGAAUAAUUUAUAAAUAUCAUUCAUUUAACCAACAUUUAAAAUGUAAAACAUAAUAAUUUGCAAAUUAAGUGCCUUAUUCUUUAAAAUCAUAAAACAAGUAUAAACCACUUUAGAUAAUUAAGAUGAACAUAUGAUUACUCACAAUAGCCGGAGUUUGGAGUACUCCUAUUCUUGGUCCUCGGGUACAAUAUCUUUACCCUUAUCAGAGGGCUCACCACCUAUACAUAAUACACGACACGUAAUUCAAUAUAUAUGUGCUAAACUGUUAUAAAACUAUUUCAGGCUCUAUAUGAAUGCAUGAAAUUGAAUGAGAAUUGUCUGAAUAAUCACUUCAAAAUGGUGUUCUACGUGGGUUCAAUUAUGAUCGGUCUGAAUUUGUAUUCGACCUAACUCGAACUAUACACUGUUAAAUCAACCAAAACAUUCGAUUCAACUCUAAAUAUAUUCAUUACACUUCCAAUACUCCAAUUACACCCAAAGUACCUCAAUGAACAUGAUUUUCUCAUUGUUGUUCAAAUCGUUUACUAAAGGAGCCAUACAUUUCCAUAACUGUUUUCAAUAUCCGACACCACAAUUUAUCAAAUAUGAGCUAAAUAACAUGAGAUAUAACAAGAUUCAUCAUCAAUAUGUCCUUGAGUAAAUUCGACCAAGGAGAGUUUGAUGAAGAGCAUGUGGUUUUCAUGCUUGUUUUUCACGUCGAGUAUCACAAAACAACUAAAAACGCGUAUGUGGCAUGAAAUCUAACAAAACCCGUGAUCAAAACCUCUCCCCCUAGGUUCGGCCAACAAUCUUUCCUUCAUGAAAUCUUGAGUUUCAACUAUGAAAAAUGAAAAAGAGAGCAUGGGAAAAGGUAAAUCUUAAGCUAAAAUUGAAAAAUCUUACCUUUGAUUUUUUUGUUUCUUGAAAUUCAACAAAUUUCUCUUGGAUUUUCUUCUCUAGGGUUUAUUCUUAUUCUUUUCUCUUUGUUCCUUGCUUUGGCCGGCCAU